AGUGAACGCUGGCGGUAGGCCUAACACAUGCAAGUCGAACGGCAGCACAGUAAGAGCUUGCUCUUACGGGUGGCGAGUGGCGGACGGGUGAGGAAUACAUCGGAAUCUACUUUUUCGUGGGGGAUAACGUAGGGAAACUUAGCUUACUCCCGAAUAGUCCCAACGGGGUAAGUCAGGGGUUCUUGGGCCUCUGGCCGAUUCUUGAAGCCGAAGUCGGAUUAGCUAGUUGGCGGGGUAAAGGCCCACCAAGGCGACGAUCCGUAGCUGGUCUGAGAGGAUGAUCAGCCACACUGGAACUGAGACACGGUCCAGACUCCUACGGGAGGUAGCAGUGGGGAAUAUUGGACAAUGGGCGCAAGCCUGAUCCAGCCAUACCGCGUGGGUGAAGAAGGCCUUCGGGUUGUAAAGCCCUUUUGUUGGGAAAGAAAAGCAGCAGGUUAAUACCCCGCUGUUCUGACGGUACCCAAAGAAUAAGCACCGGCUAACUUCGUG
RNAcentral lists this ribosomal RNA (492 nucleotides) under uncultured bacterium. RNAcentral's name for it is "partial 16S ribosomal RNA". It matches the Rfam family "Bacterial small subunit ribosomal RNA", at positions 29 to 507 of the family's 1533-position model. The record is from RNAcentral.